Long non-coding RNA from Juglans microcarpa x Juglans regia, 257 nucleotides. RefSeq lists it as uncharacterized. The transcript is spliced from 2 exons. Lineage: Eukaryota; Viridiplantae; Streptophyta; Magnoliopsida; Fagales; Juglandaceae. The record is from RefSeq and is a predicted model, not a curated record.
UGCUGACCAGGAUGUGAUGUAUAAGUAUAUAUCCAAAAGUUUACUUUUUGUGGCAACUAUUGCACCAAAAGCCGGUGGUGAAUUUGGAAAGGCCACCCUGGAGGAGUACGUCGGUUGUAUACCUGAUCGAUACUGUAACUGGUCGUAUAUUGCAUCGGAUGACUCAUCAUGGUUCACAGGGUCCUGUUCAUGCAGUUCUUAGUGAGAACUGGGUUGUCUACCACUACUUCAAUCUUAGAGCGCACAGAUAUGAGAUG